This 292-nucleotide ribosomal RNA is filed under the name uncultured bacterium. RNAcentral describes it as "partial 16S ribosomal RNA". It matches the Rfam family "Bacterial small subunit ribosomal RNA", at positions 505 to 796 of the family's 1533-position model. The record is from RNAcentral.
GUGCCAGCAGCCGCGGUAAUACGAAGGUGGCAAGCGUUGUUCGGAUUUACUGGGCGUACAGGGAGCGUAGGUGGUUUGGUAAGCCCCUCGGGAAAUCUUCGGGCUUAACCCGGAAAGGUCGGGGGGGACUGCCAGGCUAGAGGACGGGAGAGGAGCGCGGAAUUCCCGGUGUAGCGGUGAAAUGCGUAGAGAUCGGGAGGAAGGCCGGUGGCGAAGGCGGCGCUCUGGAACGUUCCUGACACUGAGGCUCGAAAGCGUGGGGAGCAAACAGGAUUAGAAACCCCCGUAGUCC